AGAGUUUGAUCAUGGCUCAGAUUGAACGCUGGCGGCAGGCUUAACACAUGCAAGUCGAGCGGGGUGAGGUGCUUCGGUACUGAUCCUAGCGGCGGACGGGUGAGUAAAGCUUAGGAAUCUGCCAUUUAGUGGGGGACAACAUUCCGAAAGGGGUGCUAAUACCGCAUACGCCCUACGGGGGAAAGCAGGGGAUCUUCGGACCUUGCGCUAAAUGAUGAGCCUAAGUCGGAUUAGCUAGUUGGUGGGGUAAAGGCCUACCAAGGCGACGAUCUGUAGCGGGUCUGAGAGGAUGAUCCGCCACACUGGGACUGAGACACGGCCCAGACUCCUACGGGAGGCAGCAGUGGGGAAUAUUGGACAAUGGGGGGAACCCUGAUCCAGCCAUGCCGCGUGUGUGAAGAAGGCCUUUUGGUUGUAAAGCACUUUAAGCGAGGAGGAGGCUACUGGUACUAAUACUACCAGCUAGUGGACGUUACUCGCAGAAUAAGCACCGGCUAACUCUGUGCCAGCAGCCGCGGUAAUACAGAGGGUGCGAGCGUUAAUCGGAUUUACUGGGCGUAAAGCGUGCGUAGGUGGCUUUUUAAGUCGGAUGUGAAAUCCCCGAGCUUAACUUGGGAAUUGCAUUCGAUACUGGAAGGCUAGAGUAUGGGAGAGGAUGGUAGAAUUCCAGGUGUAGCGGUGAAAUGCGUAGAGAUCUGGAGGAAUACCGAUGGCGAAGGCAGCCAUCUGGCCUAAUAC
This 738-nucleotide ribosomal RNA is filed under the name Acinetobacter sp. OTU35_C. RNAcentral describes it as "bacterial SSU rRNA". It matches the Rfam family "Bacterial small subunit ribosomal RNA", at positions 8 to 740 of the family's 1533-position model. Lineage: Bacteria; Pseudomonadati; Pseudomonadota; Gammaproteobacteria; Moraxellales; Moraxellaceae. The record is from RNAcentral.